GCCCCCAUAGUUCAAUGGAUAGAACGGUCCCGUCCUAAGGGAUUGAUCUCCGUUCGACUCGGAGUGGGGGCG
RNAcentral lists this transfer RNA (72 nucleotides) under bacterium. RNAcentral describes it as "tRNA-Arg". It matches the Rfam family "tRNA". From Rfam's summary of the family: Transfer RNA (tRNA) molecules are approximately 80 nucleotides in length. Their secondary structure includes four short double-helical elements and three loops (D, anti-codon, and T loops). The record is from RNAcentral.